GCGGGUCGGCGCCGUCGCCAUUUUGCUGCGGGCCUCGUGGGCGCGUCCCGCGUGGGCCGGCGCCCUCGCGCCUUCUGCCGAAUGCCGGGUGCGAGGGUUUGUGGGACACGAGAGCCGGCUCUUCCAGAGCAGCGUCGCGCGGCCAUUCUGUGGCUCCCAGGGUUCCCUGAUUGCCGUGCCUGGCCCUUGUCCCAUUGUCCUCAGAGUCAACAGAACCACAGUCCUCACCGACCGCAGUGCCCUGUAGCUGUGCUGCCUGGCGCAUUGCUCUGGGGACUGCGUGCCCCCCGAGCCCCCGUAUGUUAGAAGUUGUAUGGUUUUGCUGUGAGGAGCGGUUUUCCUUGGAACGGGCUGCCUGCCUAUCUUGAACCUCAUCCCUGAGACGCGCCCGCCUCUGCCUCCAGGAUGCUGAGAUUGAAGGCGUGCACCAUCACCGCCAGGCGUGUUUCACGACGCUGAGGAUGGAGCCUCCUUAGUGGAGGGCCUGGCUGGGGGGGUUCCCGGUCGUGUGCUUGUGCCAGCCACUCCAGUUCCUCCUGAGGAGUCUCAGUUCCUGCUACUCCGUGAGGGCACUCCAUGUUGGCUUCUUCUGAGUGUAGCCUCAGACUGAGGGGAGGCAGGAAUUUAAGGGGCACUACGGGGACUUCUAUAGCUUAAUCCCACAAAAGCCAUCGCUUCUGGCCUGCUCUGUUGGCCACACCUGCCCCUGUGGUAUCCAGGAAACAGCUGUUGGCUCCGGAGAGUCAUCAAACUUAAAAGAUGAGGAAUCCAAUGGCCUCCACUCUCCAUCUUCAGUUGUGGCCCAGUUAUUUUACACAAGCACGCAUACCCUCUGGCUAUACAUCAAUCUGAAGCAAACCAAGUGUUCUUUCAAGCUCAUUUAUUUUUAUCUCUAAGGAAGAUGGAUUUGCAAUAUCAUUACCCUACAUCCAGGUAGCUGCUCUUCUAUGCAGAACUAUUCUAAAACAAAAAGCCACGUGACUAUCCCCACUCUUACUGUAUGAUGAAUUUGGCUGGCCUUCCACCUACACACAGGUGUGCCCAACGAAGUGUGUCAAGCUGGCUUUUCAGGAGGCUCAUGGUCCUCCAACUGGAUGAGCCUGGUUUAUUGAGCUCUGUGCCACCCACAAUUCCCUGGUUUGACGCUCAAAGUACAAAUCUUCCAAAGCUGCGUUUUUAUGUUUAUGCAUAUCAAUAUUUUGAAGUAGUCUCUGAACCACUUGUGUGCAGUACCCAUAAAGGUCAGAAGAGGGCAUUGCAUCCUCUGGAACUGGAGUUAGAACAGUAGUGGGUUCUGUACUGUACUGGGAAUCAAACCCAAGAUCUCUCUCAAAGAGGAGCCAGUGCUCUAUGAACUGCUGAGCCAUCUUUUUAGCCUGCCCAUGCCCAAAGAUUUUUUAUACGGUCUAGCUACAUACAUACAGUGAUUCACAUUUGAAAAAAAUCACAAAGAUCAUUAAAAGUCCAGUCAGCA
Molecule: long non-coding RNA, 1474 nt
Organism: Mus musculus (house mouse)
Lineage: Eukaryota; Metazoa; Chordata; Mammalia; Rodentia; Muridae
Product: predicted gene 3807
Exons: 1
Source: RefSeq, marked validated